RNAcentral lists this ribosomal RNA (746 nucleotides) under uncultured Flavobacteriia bacterium. Its description in RNAcentral is "bacterial SSU rRNA". It matches the Rfam family "Bacterial small subunit ribosomal RNA", at positions 60 to 795 of the family's 1533-position model. Lineage: Bacteria; Pseudomonadati; Bacteroidota; Flavobacteriia. The record is from RNAcentral.
AGUCGAACGGUAACAGGGAUUAGCUUGCUAAUUUGCUGACGAGUGGCGCACGGGUGCGUAACGCGUAUACAAUCUACCUUUUGCUAAGGGAUAGCCCAGAGAAAUUUGGAUUAAUACCUUAUAGUAUUAUUUUAUGGCAUCAUUUAAUAAUUAAAGGCUACGGCAAAAGAUGAGUAUGCGUCCCAUUAGCUAGUUGGCGAGGUAACGGCUCACCAAGGCGACGAUGGGUAGGGGUCCUGAGAGGGAGAUCCCCCACACUGGUACUGAGACACGGACCAGACUCCUACGGGAGGCAGCAGUGAGGAAUAUUGGACAAUGGGCGCAAGCCUGAUCCAGCCAUGCCGCGUGCAGGAAGACGGCCCUAUGGGUUGUAAACUGCUUAUAUACAGGAAGAAACACCUCCUCGUGAGGGGGCUUGACGGUACUGUAAGAAUAAGGAUCGGCUAACUCCGUGCCAGCAGCCGCGGUAAUACGGAGGAUCCAAGCGUUAUCCGGAAUCAUUGGGUUUAAAGGGUCCGUAGGUGGACUACUAAGUCAGAGGUGAAAUCCCACAGCUUAACUGUGGCACUGCCUUUGAUACUGGUAGUCUUGAGUCAUUAUUAAGUGGUUAGAAUAUGUAGUGUAGCGGUGAAAUGCUUAGAUAUUACAUAGAAUACCGAUUGCGAAGGCAGAUCACUAAUAAUGUACUGACACUGAUGGACGAAAGCGUGGGUAGCGAACAGGAUUAGAUACCCUGGUAGAAGGGC